UUUAGAUUCUGUUUCCACUUUGGGGUCUUCUAUUGUUUUGUUCAUUUCCUUCCACUGUUUGUGUUUUCAUAGACUUUUAAAAAGUGAUUUGUUUCUUCUUUAUGGACCUCAAUUGUAUGCAUAAAUGCUAUUUCGAGGUCUUUUUCUUGUGCUUCAGCUAUGUUGGAAUACUCAGUGCCUGCUUUGGUAGGGUUGCUGGGCUCAAGUGAAGACAUUGUCCUCAAUGUUGAUUGUGUUUUUGCACUGGCGUCUAGGCAUCUAGAAUCGGGAAGAUUGUAAUUCUAGUCUUAUCUUGCUGGGUACAUAUUCUGUUCCUUGGCUUCUAAUUCCUAUCUGGUUCUUAGGUGAGUAUGGUGACUGUGUGUUGCCUAGUGGACAAUUCUUCUGGGGUCCUGAUACAAGUGAACACUAGUUAUUCCAGUUUAUAUUCCAUCAUGAAGAGAAGUCGGGGAAGGCACUUGAGCCAGGCCUUGAUACCGAAGCCAUGUAGGAACUCUGCUUACUGCCUUACUUCCCAUGUAUUUUUCAUCUUGCUUUUUUGUAUCACUCAGUCCCACCUGCCCAGAGAUGGAACUACCUACAACUGGCUAGGACCUUUCACAUCAAUCAUCAAUAAAACAAAACAACAACAACAA
This is a long non-coding RNA of Mastomys coucha (southern multimammate mouse), 635 nucleotides long. RefSeq lists it as uncharacterized. The transcript has 2 exons. NCBI's taxonomy places the organism in Eukaryota, Metazoa, Chordata, Mammalia, Rodentia, Muridae. The record is from RefSeq and is a predicted model, not a curated record.